Mus musculus (house mouse) is the source of this 1714-nucleotide RNA transcript. It is a transcript of the gene named phosphopantothenoylcysteine synthetase, with no coding region annotated. The record is from RefSeq and is marked validated. Lineage: Eukaryota; Metazoa; Chordata; Mammalia; Rodentia; Muridae. The transcript has 3 exons.
AAGGGAAUGACCAUAGUCACUAUUUGCGGCUGCGCGCAGCCCAGGUAUCCGGAAGGGGGCGUGGCGCCAGCGGCCCGGCGUGCCCGGGCGCUGUGGUUCUACCGUGGGGUGACUACAGUGCAGAUGGCGGAAAUGGACCUGGUGGCUGAGUUGCCGCGUCCUGCGGGUGCUGCGCGCUGGGCCGAGGUUAUGGCUCGCUUUGCGGCCAGGCUGGGCGAGCAGGGCCGGCGGGUGGUGCUGAUCACAUCUGGAGGCACCAAGGUCCCCCUGGAAGCGCGAGCCGUGCGCUUUCUGGACAACUUCAGUAGCGGGCGACGCGGAGCCGCGUCGGCGGAGGUCUUCCUGGCUGCCGGCUAUGGAGUCCUGUUCUUGUACCGAGCGCGCUCGGCCUUCCCCUAUGCCCACCGCUUCCCGCCCCAGGCCUGGCUGUCAGCCCUUCGGCCUUCUGGCCCAGCCCAGUCGGGCAAGCUGAGUCUGGAGGCCGAAGAGAAUGCGCUCCCGGGCUUUGCUGCAGCAUUGCAGAGCUACCAAGAGGCAGCCGCUGCCGGCACCUUUCUGGCUGUAGAGUUUACCACUUUGGCGGAUUAUCUGCAUCUGCUGCAGGCUGCUGCCCUGGCUCUCAGUCCAUUAGGCUCUUCUGCGAUGUUUUACCUGGCCGCGGCAGUGUCAGAUUUCUAUAUUCCUGUCUCCGAAAUGCCUGAACACAAGAUCCACUCAUCUGGUGGCCCACUGCAGGUGAUGGGCUCUUCUCUUCCAGAGAUCUGACCCCCUCUAACCAAUCUUGGGUUACUUUCCUCUUGAUCUGGAUGGCCUUUCAGCCUUCUGUAUGAGCUAGGCACUGGGAAUACAGAGAUGAAUAAGACACUGCCCUCAAGGAUCUCACAGUCUAGCGAGGGCCUGGACACCAGCCAUAAUCACAGAUCAGAAUGAUAAAUGCUGUAGUGGAGAUAACAAUGAAGAUGGUGCCAAAGAUGCUUUCCCCUCUGGUCAAAGACUGGGCUCCUAAAGCGUUUGUAGUUUCCUUUAAGCUGGAGACAGACCCGGACAUCAUAAUCAGUCGGGCUCGGAAUGCUUUGGAAGUUUACCAGCAUCAGGUGGUGGUGGCCAACAUCCUGGAGUCAAUAAAGUCCUUUGUGAUUAUUGUAACCAAAGACUCGGAGACAGAGUUACUGCUGUCCGAGGAGGAGGUGGCAAAAGGCUUGGUGAUAGAAGAGAAGAUAGUAGAUGACCUUCGGUCUCGACACACAGCUUUUAUAUGUGACAAAAACUGAAGGAAAUGCUCCUCUAGGAUCAAACACCAGAGCUCUUACCACUGAUAGGAACUAAGAUUGAUCCUCUGUUAAGGAUCAACACAGUGAAGAGAUAGUAAACGCGGUGUGCAGGCAAGUGCCUGCUGGGACUUCAGUUCUGAGAGUGAAACACUGGACGCUCUCCUGGAUCUGGAAAGUGAACAAGAGUUCACAAAGAGGACUGUGGGAUUGCGUGGCCUGCAGAGCAGAUGAGCCAGGAGCCGCUGCGUGUUGGCCUACUGUAAGGUCAUGGUGCGUGAAUGGUCAUGCUCUGAAGAAGUGUUUAUCAAGUGCCUACCAUGUGCCAGGGCCUUUGUGAGCUGUGAGGGUCUGAAAGAUGAAUGAGCACGUCUCAUUUGGGAACUGGAUGUACAAAAAUUUAUGUGCAAUAAAGUAUGUGCCCACAAAGGGACACUUGGAAAGGG